Molecule: ribosomal RNA, 493 nt
Filed under: uncultured bacterium
Lineage: Bacteria
Description: partial 16S ribosomal RNA
Rfam family: Bacterial small subunit ribosomal RNA
Source: RNAcentral
UUGCACGCUGGCGGCAUGCUUUACACAUGCAAGUCGAACGGCAGCGGGGAGGAGCUUGCUUCUCUGCCGGCGAGUGGCGAACGGGUGAGUAAUACAUCGGAACGUGUCGAGAAGAGGGGGAUAACCACCCGAAAGGGUGGCUAAUACCGCAUAAAUUCUGAGGAAGAAAGCUGGGGACCUAGGAAUAGGCCUAGCGCUUUUUGAGCGGCCGAUGUCGGAUUAGCUAGUUGGUGAGGUAAAGGCUCACCAAGGCGAAGAUCUGUAGCGGGUCUGAGAGGAUGAUCCGCCACACUGGGACUGAGACACGGCCCAGACUCCUACGGGAGGCAGCAGUGGGGAAUUUUGGACAAUGGGGGCAACCCUGAUCCAGCCAUGCCGCGUGUAUGAAGAAGGCCUUAGGGUUGUAAAGUACUUUUGUUAGGGAAGAAAAGUCAGCUGUGAAUAAUGGCUGAUACUGACGGUACCUAAAGAAUAAGCACCGGCUAACUACGUG